This 748-nucleotide long non-coding RNA is filed under the name Homo sapiens (human). RNAcentral describes it as "non-protein coding lnc-SMCR8-2:1". The record is from RNAcentral. Lineage: Eukaryota; Metazoa; Chordata; Mammalia; Primates; Hominidae.
AUGCCAAAAGGAAAGAUGGCCAAGGGGAAGAAGUGGCCCUGGCCCCUGUUGUCAUGGAGCAGCAGUAGGCCAAAAAGGUGGUAAAUCCCAUUUGAGAAAAGCCCUAAUAAUUUUGGCAUUGGAUAUCUAGCCUAAGGGCCUCACCCACUUUGUCAAAUAGUCCCGCUAUAAAUGGCUGCUGCGGCAGAGCCGCUGUACUCUAUAAGUGGCUGAUGUGCCACCUGGGAUUGACCAGUUCACCCAGGCCUCAGACUACCAAACUUAAGCUACUCAAUUGCUUAAGCUGGCCCACAGUACAGACAAGAGACAGAGCAAGGGAUGAGAUCGAAACCGUUGGCCCAGGCUGAGAAGAAAGCUUCCAGCAAAGGGGAUGUCGCUACUAAGAGACCACCUACACUUCGAGCAGGGGUUGACACCGUCACCAACUUGGUAGAGAGCAUGAAGGGUCAGCUGGUGGUGGAUCCCAUUGAGCUGGUUGUCUUCCUGCCUGUGCUGUGUCCUAAGAUGGGGAUUCUCUACUGCACCGUCAAGACUGUGGUGUCAAAUUCCACAGGAAGACCUGCACCACUGUCACCUUCACAAAGGUUAACUUUCUGGUAGACAAAGGAGCUCUGGCUAAGCUGGUGGGACAAAUUACAACGACAUAUGAGAUCUGCUGUCACUGGGGAGGCAAUGCCCUGGGUCCAAAAUCUGUAGCUUGCAUUACCAACCUAGAAAAGGCAAAGGCUAAAGAAUUUGCCACUAAACU